Molecule: ribosomal RNA, 253 nt
Filed under: uncultured bacterium
Lineage: Bacteria
Description: partial 16S ribosomal RNA
Rfam family: Bacterial small subunit ribosomal RNA
Source: RNAcentral
UACGUAGGGGGCAAGCGUUGUCCGGAAUCAUUGGGCGUAAAGCGCGCGCAGGCGGGCGUGUAAGUCAGAAGUGAAAUUCCGGGGCUCAACCCCGGAGCUGCUCCUGAUACUGCACGUCUGGAGACCGGUAGAGGCUGGUGGAAUUCCCGGUGUAGCGGUGGAAUGCGUAGAGAUCGGGAAGAACACCCGUGGCGAAGGCGGCCAGCUGGGCCGGUUCUGACGCUGAGGCGCGAAAGCGUGGGGAGCAAACAGG